GUUGGAAAGUUCCGGCGGUCAAGGAUGGACUCGCGGCCUAUCAGCUUGUUGGUGAGGUAACGGCUCACCAAGGCGACGACGGGUAGCCGGCCUGAGAGGGCGACCGGCCACAUUGGGACUGAGAUACGGCCCAAACUCCUACGGGAGGCAGCAGUGGGGAAUAUUGCACAAUGGGCGAAAGCCUGAUGCAGCAACGCCGCGUGCGGGAAGACGGCCUUCGGGUUGUAAACCGCUUUCAGUAGGGACGAAGCUAACGUGACGGUACCUACAGAAGAAGCACCGGCUAACUACGUGCCAGCAGCCGCGGUGAUACGUAGGGUGCGAGCGUUGUCCGGAAUUAUUGGGCGUAAAGAGCUUGUAGGCGGUUUGUCACGUCGGGAGUGAAAACUCGGGGCUUAACCCCGAGCCUGCUUCCGAUACGGGCUGACUUGAGGAAGGUAGGGGAGAAUGGAAUUCCUGGUGAAGCGGUGGAAUGCGUAGAUAUCAGGAGGAACACCAGUGGCGAAGGCGGUUCUCUGGACCUUUCCUGACGCUGAGAAGCGAAAGCGUGGGGAGCAAACAGGCUUAGAUACCCUGGUAGUCCACGCCGUAAACG
RNAcentral lists this ribosomal RNA (595 nucleotides) under Tessaracoccus profundi. RNAcentral's name for it is "bacterial SSU rRNA". It matches the Rfam family "Bacterial small subunit ribosomal RNA", at positions 198 to 808 of the family's 1533-position model. Lineage: Bacteria; Bacillati; Actinomycetota; Actinomycetes; Propionibacteriales; Propionibacteriaceae. The record is from RNAcentral.